UCCUACGGGAGGCAGCAGUGGGGAAUAUUGCACAAUGGGGGAAACCCUGAUGCAGCAACGCCGCGUGAGUGAUGACGGCCUUCGGGUUGUAAAGCUCUGUCUUCAGGGACGAUAAUGACGGUACCUGAGGAGGAAGCCACGGCUAACUACGUGCCAGCAGCCGCGGUAAUACGUAGGUGGCAAGCGUUGUCCGGAUUUACUGGGCGUAAAGGGAGCGUAGGCGGACUUUUAAGUGAGAUGUGAAAUACCCGGGCUCAACUUGGGUGCUGCAUUUCAAACUGGAAGUCUAGAGUGCAGGAGAGGAGAAUGGAAUUCCUAGUGUAGCGGUGAAAUGCGUAGAGAUUAGGAAGAACACCAGUGGCGAAGGCGAUUCUCUGGACUGUAACUGACGCUGAGGCUCGAAAGCGUGGGGAGCAAACAGGAUUAGAUACCCUUGUAGUC
Molecule: ribosomal RNA, 441 nt
Filed under: Escherichia coli
Lineage: Bacteria; Pseudomonadati; Pseudomonadota; Gammaproteobacteria; Enterobacterales; Enterobacteriaceae
Description: bacterial SSU rRNA
Rfam family: Bacterial small subunit ribosomal RNA
Source: RNAcentral